RNAcentral lists this unclassified non-coding RNA (148 nucleotides) under uncultured Leotiomycetes. Its description in RNAcentral is "sequence contains ITS2". Lineage: Eukaryota; Fungi; Ascomycota; Leotiomycetes. The record is from RNAcentral.
CAACCAAUCCCCUCGGGGGUAUUGGACCCUGCCGGCGACGGCCGGUCCUAAACCCAGUGGCGGCAUCGCACGCACUCGAGCGUAGUAGCUUUAUCUCGCUUGGAGGCGCGUGCGAUCUUGACCAGCAAACCUCACAUACGUGUUUAUA